UGGGGAAUCUUGCACAAUGGGGGAAACCCUGACGGAGCAACGCCGCGUGAGGGACGAAGGCCUCUGGGCUGUAAACCUCUUUUCUCAAGGAAGAAGAUAUGACGGUACUUGAGGAAUAAGCCACGGCUAAUUCCGUGCCAGCAGCCGCGGUAAUACGGGAGUGGCAAGCGUUAUCCGGAAUUAUUGGGCGUAAAGCGUCCGCAGGCGGCUUUUCAAGUCUGCUGUUAAAGCGUGGAGCUUAACUCCAUCAUGGCAGUGGAAACUGAAAGGCUUGAGUAUGGUAGGGGCAGAGGGAAUUCCCGGUGUAGCGGUGAAAUGCGUAGAUAUCGGGAAGAACACCAGUGGCGAAGGCGCUCUGCUGGGCCAUUACUGACGCUCAUGGACGAAAGCCAGGGGAGCGAAAGGG
RNAcentral lists this ribosomal RNA (406 nucleotides) under uncultured bacterium. Its description in RNAcentral is "bacterial SSU rRNA". It matches the Rfam family "Bacterial small subunit ribosomal RNA", at positions 355 to 776 of the family's 1533-position model. The record is from RNAcentral.